UUCGCAUUCCAAUGUGCACGUGUGCAUAAACUAUGUGUACUCUUGCGCGCGCGUACACGAGUAAGUAAAAGAGCGGAAUGCACGCUGGCUAUUGGCAUCGUGCGUAUUGCGUAAACAGUGGGUCUUAAUAGACGCCUGUGCACGAGCAUCUUGCUAUGAUAAAACGGGCAUGCAUUCGCAUUGCGUCAUGUGAAAAGUAACAACUGCUGGACGGCCUUGGGUACAGCACAUUGUGAUAAUGCACUUAUUGAAAAUAAAGGAGCUAGAUAUACAAGCUUUGACAGUUGAGGAAUAUUUCUCCUGAAAGCUAACGAGGAAAUCGAGUGACAUAUGCGUCACUUUCCUGGUAAGAUAAAUAUGGAAGAAUGUUUAAUCUACGUGGCGUUAUUUUUACAGAUUGAAGUAUCCGCAGGCUUAUUGAAGUGCAGAGCGCAACGAUAAUAUCGACAAAAGUGUCAUGGAUACUAAUAACCUAACCUAGACAAACUUGUCUAGCUAUCUAACAUCGAAAAUCGAUCUCGUUGUAUCAGGUUGAUCUUGUAGAAUGAAGUUGUAUCGGUGUUUCAACAUCGACUUAUGACUUCAUUGAUUCCUCCGAUACGUUCGACGGAACGUUAUGAACGACGAUCCCGAAGAAACGCUCGUGGGCCAACAAACAGCUCGACUACGUUAUUAUACUUAAUCGCGGUGUGCGCCCGAAGCGCGACGUUCUCGCGAUUGCUGGAAUGCCGUCCGAUCACUUGUACCGGGUCUAUCAAGGCCGUUGGGAAAUGAAAAUCGUUUCUUUCUGGUCGACUUAUGGAAUCCAAAACAUGUGGGACAUUAAGAAUUUACGUGGACAGGAGAAAAGGCAUCGAUGGUAGGUAAAGACGGGUCGGUAUAAAAAUAGAGUGCAUCCUGAAGAUGCAACCUGGUUCCACUACGAUAUAACAGUUAACGAUAAAAUCAAAUUGUACAAACGUGCACUAAAUCGUACUUGUCGGUGAAUUGGGUCGUUCACUUAUAGAUCGGUCGGUAAUUUACCUACGUUCCAUAACUGCAUAAGCAGUUAUUAAAUAUUUGAUUAAAUAUUGGAAAAUUCGCUACUAUGCUAUUGAAUUCCGGAUUGUAGAGAACGAGUACAACAUGUUAUAAUCGUUUGAAAACUUUUUUCAAUAAAAUACGAUAAAGUCGCAUCUUCGUACCUUGAGAGUUUCGGACAAAAAUAAUCAUAUUCUACUGUUUUCGCAGAUAUAUAGAGGGUGAUCCGUAAUUCAUGGACAGAGAGAUUCUACGACUUAAAAUAAGAGGAAAAUCAAGAAUAACACAAUUACGCUGGUUUUGUUUCUGAGAAAAUCGAUGACUUCAUUUGUACCAUGAAUACAAUACCUGAAGCAGAGUGACUAUCCUGUAUAUGGUUGAAAAAUAGUUGGGACAAUGGUGUGAAAAAUAUCGUAAGUGGGAGGAACCAGGACAAAGGUACAGACUUUGAGUGAUUAAAUUUAUGGUUUUGAUAAUUCGUCGUAGUGAAUUACCGUUUAUAUAAAUAUAGAAAUGAAUGUCGCUGUUGAUGGCAUGCUGAUGAUAUCAUUGCAGAUUGUCUCAACAAGCUGGCAAUACUUUUUAGUACUUAUACUUUAUACUGUUUACAGCAUACUACUCCAACAAUACUCUUUGGUAUUUUUCUUAUUAAUACUUACUAUAAUUAUUUCCAUAUUUCCCAUUCCAUUUCAUUUCAAAGGAAGUUACCAAAUGAGAAUUUCGAUAUAAAGGAUAAAAUAUCACGACUGUCUUUGCUAAUGCGAAGGUCUUUAAAGGAGGGAUUAAGUAAAAGAGCUAAAUGGUACCAGAAGACGAUUUACCUUCAUGACCACUCUCAUUUACAUACGGAAGUUAUCUAUUUCUCUAAGCGCGAGCACCGAACCAUUACGUUCCAUUUAAUUAACAAUGUGGCAGACAAGCUUCCACCUCGAAGCGCCUCGUAGAUCGAUGUUAACCACACGUUAGAAUCAAUCAUCGCGCGUUCACCGGUGAAACGAUUAGCUUACGAUGAGUAAACAAAUGUUUGAACGAUGCGCAUUACACGGCAGAGCAAAUACGCUGCUUCCUGUCGCGUAAUUUGUAGUCGUGACGCUCGCUUCGUAUAUGUAACGAUCGACGCGAUCACUCGAUAAUAACAGAUUCAAGAAUAUUUGCAUAAUACCUACCAGUAUACACAGUAUACGUUAACCACUUCGUUGUACCUUCUAUCAAUUUUGCCAUCUAAUAUAUUAUGAGAACGUCGUCGCUGCAAACUGGUGCGAAUGUUCUACAGGAUAGAUCAGUUUGAUAGAAGAGUAACUAUUGUAGAUAAUGUACCAUUAUCAGUCAUGGUAACGAUCUCGUCACGUGAAGCGCACAACGUAACAACAACACAACAAUUUUGUAAUCUUGUUUAUUUUCUUUUAGAUCUACGAUCAAAACUUGCAUGAUACUUAUCACAGAUUUGUGGUAAGCUGAAGAAGAGGAAGGCUAAAUCUAGAGGUUUGAGUUCUCAAGAAAUCAAGAUAGCUGCGAUUCACUCUUUUAAAAGUAACUAACUUAGAAGUUAUUAAUAAUUCAUUUUCAAAUAACGCUCUGCUUUCAGGCUUUUUACAUUUUUCUACGUUAAACAUGGCCAACUCCAGCCACCGUUUCACGUCACGACGUUAGGAUACAGUUACCCUUGCUCGCGAUACAGAUCAUUUCACUUAACGCAUUUCAACCACUCCUCGAGCGUGCCGCGAUGGGAUCUGAAACACUUCAAAUCGUAUCGCGUCUGUAUAUUCAAAUCACUUCAAACAUGAUUCGAGGCUUGAAACUCUUGAUCGCGUAGAAGGUCUUUAAAAUCUUUAAAAUCUUGGCAAUCUUAGAAGUCUUGAUCAUCAUGGAAAUCUGAAUCGUCUAGGAAAUGUUGAAAAUUGUGAUCAUUUUAAAAGCCUUGAUCAUAUUAGAAGUCUCGAUCAUCUUGUGAAAUAAAUGUAUGUAUGAUAAUUUGAUCUUUCCAGGCGUUUUAUAAACACUUGUUGCCGCCUGCAAAACUGAAUCUAACAGUUUCAAAACGAUCAAGACUUUCGAGACUUUAAAGACUCAAAGUUAUCAAGAUUUACAAAAGAACUUUAAACUUCGAAUCAUGUUCGAAGCGAUCCGAAUUUGUCGCCUCAUACACAAUACAAAUUCGAAGCGAUUCGAAGUGUUUCCAAAUCCCAUAACUAGCCGCAAUUCGUGCCUGAUAACUAGGCGAACAGGACAACAAAUUGAAGGAGCCAACAUCCAAACGCACAGCAUGAUUUUUCGACGACUAUUAUCUUCGUGGCUGUAUUUCGCUACAAUUUCAUCGACACGUCCGUUAACCCAGGUCAGCUUUCUGUAUAAGAAGAAAAUAGAGUUACCAGUCAUUAAGGAGAAUGUACCACAUACCUGCCUCACCAAGUAGCUACAUAUUCUGAGAUAACACAAGCAAUUUGUAUCACACUGAAGCUAAGAAUUUUUAAUGCCAUCUUGUAACCAAAUGACGAAGAACAUACACAUUACCUACUUCGAUAGUCUAUAGAAUUAUUUAAUUUAAUCCGAACAGAUGCAUUUAUUAAUCUAUACACAGCAUAAAAUAGAGUUCCCGGUAAGUGCCUGUAUGUUCAGGGCUAAUUUCGAGGACGAUUUGAAAAAUUUCGAUGCGGUGUUCUCGAGGAAGAUUUAGAUGUAUGAAACGUUAACCUACGACAAAAGGGAGCACGCAUAGAACAUUAAGAAUAUGAACCAGAGACAGUACACGAAUAUUCGCAACAAAACAGCGAUCUUCUUCAAUGCGAGCAUGUUUAGAAUCAUGUUUAGAAUCGCUGCCACAAUAUAGCGAGACGAUAUGAUCCCCCCUUCGAGCAAUGUCUUUCUCUUCUUAGUGCACGGCAUGUCAGAAGCUUCACGACUUCGUUGUGUGACAACGGGUGUUGUUUCACGGACUGCGGAACACUUACCGAGCCAAUAAAGACUCACGAGAUUGUCAGCCAUAUUAUUAAAAAAGAUUAUAUACGCAUAAUACAUAUUAUAGUAUAUCAUAAUUAGAAAUAUUCAACUUGCAAAUAGGAGAACAUUUAUUACAAUUCGUAUGAAACUCGAUUCUAUUCGCACUGAAAUUUUUUCAUCGACGUAUACAGCUAACACAACGUCAUUUAAAAGGACAUAAACGCCUCCACGGAGUGCGUUUAACCCAAGUCAAUAAAUUCAUGCUUAAGAUCGAUAUCGUGUGCAUUUAACAUCUCCCAUAAACUAUCUUACACGGUGAACUAGUUCCGUUGGCCAGGUAACGAGCAUUGAUCGAUUAAUUUCAUCAGCAUUGCUUCGCAGCAACUUUACGCAUCAUUUUCUUGUUAGACAGGUUGCCUCGGAUAUACGUAAAGUCGACGUCCUUAAAUGCAUCAUGCGUCUCGUAAUACUCAUCCGAUUAUCCGUUCAUUCAUUUCGCUUAAUUGCCCACACCGUUAUCAGGCGGGCUUUAAGCUGAACGUCUGAGGAACGCUGUAUCCUCGGUUGUUUUAUAAAAAGACAAGUUUAUUCAUAUACGGAUCACGUUAUGAUAAUGUGCGAUUAAAUUCAUAUAUAGGUAACUAUGCUUGCAGAGGCAAGUGAGACUAGUUGUGGAAUGUAUGAGAGAGGAUGUUGAAUCACAGGCUGAAGCUAUAAUUACGUACAAGGAUUAUGGAGAAAAUAGUAAAAAGAAUAAAUUAUAGUAAAUACA
Molecule: long non-coding RNA, 4729 nt
Organism: Bombus impatiens (common eastern bumble bee)
Lineage: Eukaryota; Metazoa; Arthropoda; Insecta; Hymenoptera; Apidae
Exons: 4
Source: RefSeq, a predicted model, not a curated record